AUCACAGUAGUGUAAAUAACACAUUUCAUUUUCGUUGAAAAAAAGAAAUUAAUUUUCCUGAGAUA
RNAcentral lists this transfer RNA (65 nucleotides) under Tetraclitella divisa. RNAcentral describes it as "tRNA-Glu". The record is from RNAcentral. Lineage: Eukaryota; Metazoa; Arthropoda; Thecostraca; Balanomorpha; Tetraclitidae.